This 446-nucleotide ribosomal RNA is filed under the name uncultured bacterium. RNAcentral describes it as "partial 16S ribosomal RNA". It matches the Rfam family "Bacterial small subunit ribosomal RNA", at positions 338 to 795 of the family's 1533-position model. The record is from RNAcentral.
CCUACGGGUGGCAGCAGUCGAGAAUCAUUCACAAUGGGGGAAACCCUGAUGGUGCGACGCCGCGUGGGGGAAUGAAGUUCUUCGUAUUGUAAACCCCUGUCAUGUGGGAGCAAAUUAAAAAGAUAGUACCACAAGAGGAAUAGACGCCUAACUCUGUGCCAGCAGCCGCGGUAAUACAGAGGUCUCAAGCGUUGUUGGGAAUCACUGGGCGUAAAGCGUGCGUAGGCUGUUUCGUAAGUCGUGUGUGAAAGGCGCGGGCUCAACCCGCGGACGGCACAUGAUACUGCGAGACUAGAGUAGUGGAGGGGGAACCGGAAUGCUCGGUGUAGCAGUGAAAUGCGUAGAUAUCGAGAGGAACACUCGUGGCGAAGGCGGGUUCCUGGACAUUAACUGACGCUGAGGCACGAAGGCGAGGGGAGCGAAAGGGAUUAGAUACCCGAGUAGUC